GAUGAACGCUGGCGGCGUGCCUAAUACAUGCAAGUAGAACGCUGAAGGAGGAGCUUGCUCUUCUGGAUGAGUUGCGAACGGGUGAGUAACGCGUAGGUAACCUGCCUGGUAGCGGGGGAUAACUAUUGGAAACGAUAGCUAAUACCGCAUGACAACAGUUAUUGCAUGAUAACUGUUUAAAAGGGGCAACUGCUCCACUACCAGAUGGACCUGCGUUGUAUUAGCUAGUUGGUGAGGUAACGGCUCACCAAGGCGACGAUACAUAGCCGACCUGAGAGGGUGAUCGGCCACACUGGGACUGAGACACGGCCCAGACUCCUACGGGAGGCAGCAGUAGGGAAUCUUCCGCAAUGGACGGAAGUCUGAACGAGCAACGCCGCGUGAGUGAAGAAGGUUUUCGGAUCGUAAAGAUCUGUUGUAAGAGAAGAACGAGUGUGAGAGUGGAAAGUUCACACUGUGACGGUAUCUUACCAGAAAGGGACGGCUAACUACGUG
RNAcentral lists this ribosomal RNA (495 nucleotides) under uncultured bacterium. Its description in RNAcentral is "partial 16S ribosomal RNA". It matches the Rfam family "Bacterial small subunit ribosomal RNA", at positions 28 to 507 of the family's 1533-position model. The record is from RNAcentral.